RNAcentral lists this ribosomal RNA (20 nucleotides) under Bonamia sp. ex Ostrea chilensis. Its description in RNAcentral is "partial small subunit ribosomal RNA". Lineage: Eukaryota; Endomyxa; Ascetosporea; Haplosporida; Haplosporidiidae. The record is from RNAcentral.
CGUAGGUGAACCUGCGGAAA